UCGUUGUUGAAAUGGCUUGUGGCUUGAGGUCGGCAUGGCAUCAGAGUGCUACUUCGAUUUGAAUCCAAGAUUGAUUAAAUAUAUAAGAGGUCAUAAUCCUUAACAAGAUGUCAUCCAAUGUCUGGAUCGAUUUUUAAUGAGUUGGAGUUGGUAUUUUCCGGAUUACCAUCUAUUCGAUGAUGGGGUUGGUUGUCAUCGUGGGC
RNAcentral lists this long non-coding RNA (203 nucleotides) under Elaeis guineensis (African oil palm). RNAcentral describes it as "long non-coding RNA (EGUI_LNC022370)". Lineage: Eukaryota; Viridiplantae; Streptophyta; Magnoliopsida; Arecales; Arecaceae. The record is from RNAcentral.